GCUCAAUAUAUAAGUGUGUUAUUCUGUGAAAUAACUCAAAUUUCAAACCAUUCAUUUGCUAGAACUACUCAUGCUAUGGACGUGGGAGCAUCAACUCCAUUCCUUUGGGCUUUUGAGGAGCAAAAGAAAGAAAUUAAUAUCUAUGAAAGAGUCCGGGGAGCCACUAUGCAUGCUAGUUUCAGACGACUUGGUGGAGUGGCACGACAUCUGUCUCUUGGCCUAUGUCGAGAUAUUGAUUCCUCCACAGAACAAUUUGCCUCACGCAUGGACGAAUUAGAAGAGAUGUCAACCAACAACCGUAUCCGGAAACAAUGAUUAGUGGAUAUUGGUACUGUCACUGCACAAGAAGCAAAUGAUUGGGGAUUCAGUGGUGUAAUAUUAAGAGGUCGUGCGACAUGA
This 399-nucleotide ribosomal RNA is filed under the name Triticum aestivum (bread wheat). RNAcentral describes it as "partial small subunit ribosomal RNA". The record is from RNAcentral. Lineage: Eukaryota; Viridiplantae; Streptophyta; Magnoliopsida; Poales; Poaceae.